This 253-nucleotide ribosomal RNA is filed under the name uncultured bacterium. RNAcentral's name for it is "partial 16S ribosomal RNA". It matches the Rfam family "Bacterial small subunit ribosomal RNA", at positions 524 to 776 of the family's 1533-position model. The record is from RNAcentral.
UACGUAGGGGGCAAGCGUUGUCCGGAAUCAUUGGGCGUAAAGCGCGUGUAGGCGGCCCGGUAAGUCCGCUGUAAAAGUCUAGGGCUCAACCCUGGAAAGCCGGUGGAUACUGUCGGGCUCGAGUCCGGAAGAGGCGAGUGGAAUUCCUGGUGUAGCGGUGAAAUGCGCAGAUAUCAGGAGGAACACCGAUGGCGAAGGCAGCUCGCUGGGACGGUACUGACGCUGAGAAGCGAAAGCAUGGGGAGCGAACAGG